This 1381-nucleotide ribosomal RNA is filed under the name soil metagenome. RNAcentral describes it as "bacterial LSU rRNA". It matches the Rfam family "Archaeal large subunit ribosomal RNA", at positions 1477 to 2853 of the family's 2987-position model. The record is from RNAcentral.
CCUAAGAACAACCUCAACAGCGUUGUCCGAAAGGGAAACUGGUUAAUAUUCCAGUGCCAUGAAAGAUCGUUUGUACCUUGCUUGUCGCUUCAGGAUAGAGUAAGCAGAAUCGUCGUUCUGUCUAAUUAUUCGAAUCAGGGGGAGUACUGUAAUAGUGAGAACCUUGAUGAGAUGAGAAUGGCCUUCCGCAAGGAGGGUUUACUUGAAUCCAGGAGACACUGAAAGCAAGUUAAGGGAGAUUCUUUUAUGUCCGUACCGAGAACCGACACUGGUGCCCUGGAUUAGUAAUCUAAGGUCUGUCGGGUAUACCGUAAGGCGAGGGAACUCGGCAAAAUAGCUCCGUAUCUAUGGUAUAAGGAGUGCCUGCAAUUUUUAUGAGGAAUAGGAACUGCAGGUCGCAGUGACUAGGGGGUCCCGACUGUUUAAUAAAAACACAGUUGGUCGCAAGUCCGAAAGGAUGUGUACGGCCUAUGUAUCCUGGCCAGUGACGGUACCUAAAACCUGGGUUCAACUGGGCUAAGGGCCGUUUAACGCCGGGAGUAACUCUGACUCUCUUAAGGUAGCCAAAUGCCUUGUCGGGUAAGUUCCGACGUGCAUGAAUGGAACAACGAGGGCCCCGCUGUCCCCGCCUACAACCCGGUGAAGCCACAUAAUGUGGACGAACAGUCCACAAACCUCUGUCGGGGAGAGAAGACCCUGUGGAGCUUUACUGCAGCCUGUUGUUGCGAUAUGAUGUCUAAUGCAGAGAGUAGUUGGGAGCCUUCGAAGCCAGUUCUCCGGGAUUGGUCGAGGCGAAAGUGUAACACCAGCCAUUGGUUAUCGUAUCGCUAACCCGUUCUCACGGGGACACCGGCAGGUGGGCAGUUUGGCUGGGGCGGCACCCCCUUGAAAAAAUAUCGAGGGGGCCCAAAGAUUGGCUCAGGCGGGACAGAACUCCGCCGGUGAGGGCAAAGCCACAAGCCAGUCUGACUGGAUCCCCAAUGAUACGGGAUUCAGAGGCGAAAGCCGGGCUUAGCGAUCCAUCAUGUCCUCACUAUUGGAGGCUGAUGGUGACAGAAAAGUUACCCUAGGGAUAACAGGCUCGUCGCGGGCGAGAGCUCCUAUCGACCCCGCGGUUUGGUACCUCGAUGUCGGCUCUUCCCAUCCUGGUUCUGCAGCAGGAGCCAAGGGUGGGGCUGCUCGCCCAUUAAAGGGGAACGUGAGCUGGGUUUAGACCGUCGUGAGACAGGUCGGUCUCUGCCUGACAGGGGCGUGGUUGUCUGAGGGGAAGUUGUCCCUAGUACGAGAGGAACAGGGCAACGCAGCCUCUGGUUUAUCAGCUGUCCGACAGGGCACGCUGAGCAGCUAAGCUGUUUUGGAUAACUCCUGAAAGCAUCUAAGG